CCUACGGGGGGCAGCAGUGGGGAAUAUUGGACAAUGGGGGGAACCCUUAUCCAGCCAUGCCGCGUGUGUGAAGAAGGCCCUCGGGUUGUAAAGCACUUUCAGGGAGGAAGAACGCCUGGUGGUUAAUACCCAUCAGGAAAGACAUCACUCACAGAAGAAGCACCGGCUAACUCCGUGCCAGCAGCCGCGGUAAUACGGAGGGUGCGAGCGUUAAUCGGAAUUACUGGGCGUAAAGCGCGCGUAGGUGGCUUGAUAAGCCGGUUGUGAAAGCCCCGGGCUCAACCUGGGAACGGCAUCCGGAACUGUCAAGCUAGAGUGCAGGAGAGGAAGGUAGAAUUCCCGGUGUAGCGGUGAAAUGCGUAGAGAUCGGGAGGAAUACCAGUGGCGAAGGCGGCCUUAUGGACUGACACUGACACUGAGGUGCGAAAGCGUGGGUAGCAAACAGGAUUAGAUACCCUUGUAGUC
Molecule: ribosomal RNA, 465 nt
Filed under: Vreelandella stevensii
Lineage: Bacteria; Pseudomonadati; Pseudomonadota; Gammaproteobacteria; Oceanospirillales; Halomonadaceae
Description: partial 16S ribosomal RNA
Rfam family: Bacterial small subunit ribosomal RNA
Source: RNAcentral